AUUGAACGCUGGCGGCAGGCCUAACACAUGCAAGUCGAGCGGAUGAAGGGAGCUUGCUCCUGGAUUCAGCGGCGGACGGGUGAGUAAUGCCUAGGAAUCUGCCUGGUAGUGGGGGAUAACGUCCGGAAACGGGCGGUAAUACCGCAUACGUCCUGAGGGAGAAAGAGGGGGGUCUUCGGACCUCACGCUAUCAGAUGGGCCUAGGUCGGAUUAGCUAGCUGGUGGGGGAAAGGCCUACCAAGGCGACGAUCCGUAACUGGUCUGAGAGGAUGAUCAGUCACACUGGAACUGAGACACGGUCCAGACUCCUACGGGAGGCAGCAGUGGGGAAUAUUGGACAAUGGGCGAAAGCCUGAUCCAGCCAUGCCGCGUGUGUGAAGAAGGUCUUCGGAUUGUAAAGCACUUUAAGUUGGGAGGAAGGGCAGUAAGUUAAUACCUUGCUGUUUUGACGUUACCAACAGAAUAAGCACCGGCUAACUUCGUG
RNAcentral lists this ribosomal RNA (484 nucleotides) under uncultured bacterium. RNAcentral's name for it is "partial 16S ribosomal RNA". It matches the Rfam family "Bacterial small subunit ribosomal RNA", at positions 30 to 507 of the family's 1533-position model. The record is from RNAcentral.